GUCGACCUCGGAUCAGGU
This 18-nucleotide ribosomal RNA is filed under the name Neodevriesia coccolobae. RNAcentral's name for it is "partial 28S ribosomal RNA". The record is from RNAcentral. Lineage: Eukaryota; Fungi; Ascomycota; Dothideomycetes; Mycosphaerellales; Neodevriesiaceae.